GGUGAGGUGUCCGAGUGGCUGAAGGAGCACGCCUGGAAAGUGUGUAACGGCUAAUCCCCGUUCGAGGGUUCGAAUCCCUCCCUCACCGCCA
This 91-nucleotide transfer RNA is filed under the name Pseudomonadales bacterium. RNAcentral describes it as "tRNA-Ser". It matches the Rfam family "tRNA". Rfam says of the family: Transfer RNA (tRNA) molecules are approximately 80 nucleotides in length. Their secondary structure includes four short double-helical elements and three loops (D, anti-codon, and T loops). The record is from RNAcentral. Lineage: Bacteria; Pseudomonadati; Pseudomonadota; Gammaproteobacteria; Pseudomonadales.